AGAAAAGUAUUUAAAAAAGAUAAAAUCUAACUUGCAAUUAGAAAUUGAUUAUUCCUUUUCUA
This 62-nucleotide transfer RNA is filed under the name Ixodes persulcatus (taiga tick). RNAcentral describes it as "tRNA-Ala". Lineage: Eukaryota; Metazoa; Arthropoda; Arachnida; Ixodida; Ixodidae. The record is from RNAcentral.